This 806-nucleotide long non-coding RNA is filed under the name Sus scrofa (pig). RNAcentral's name for it is "lncRNA (ENSSSCG00040014473.1)". Lineage: Eukaryota; Metazoa; Chordata; Mammalia; Artiodactyla; Suidae. The record is from RNAcentral.
GCGCGUGCGCAGCAGUAGUCCCGUCACCUCACUCGUCUUCUCUGGGCUCCGGGAAGCGGUUUGGGAACCUGGGGGGUCUGCUCGGAAAGUGAAGGAGGCGCACCUGGGUUACCGUGAAACAAAUGGACCCUUGUGAGGUAGGAAGCAGGGAGUCUCUAUAAACAGGAGUCUUAACCUGGAGGAGAGCACCGCCUGACCUUAAACCUGUCUCCAGAACUUCAGAGCAGAGACAGAAGAACUCAGAAAGGAGCAGAUCCUAGAUGCGUAAGGUCAGAAGUUGUUCUUAAUCUCCCUGCUGAGAAUGAGCCAGUCUUGGAAAUGACGCCACCUCUAGAAGCCAGCAGACUUAUGACACUUGGGAGUUUGGACAGCCUUGAGAAGAACAAGCUGCACCACAGUUCUCAACCCUCCCAAGAGCACAAAAUGAACAUACCUCAGGCAGCAGUGUCAUUCAAAGACGUGACUGUGGCGUUCACCCAGGAGGAGUGGCAGCAGCUGGACUCUGCGCAGAGGACCCUGUACAGAGAUGUGACGCUGGAGAACUACAGCCACCUCGUCUCAGUGGAUUUUAUAAAAACGGAUUCCUAAAAUAGGUACCUUUUUUGGUCUGGCUUCUUUUGUUUAGCAUGAUGCUUUUGAGACUUGUGCAUGUGUGUCUUAUCCCUAGUUUAUUCUUUUUAUCCUGAGCAGUAUUCCUUUGUAUGCAUAUACCACAGUUUGUUAUCCUUUCAAUUGACAGAUAACAUGGGUGUUUUUCCAGUUUGGGGCUGUUAUGAAUAAAGCUGCUGUGAACCUUCACAUAUAAA